This 460-nucleotide ribosomal RNA is filed under the name uncultured bacterium. RNAcentral's name for it is "partial 16S ribosomal RNA". It matches the Rfam family "Bacterial small subunit ribosomal RNA", at positions 338 to 795 of the family's 1533-position model. The record is from RNAcentral.
CCUACGGGAGGCAGCAGUGAGGAAUAUUGGUCAAUGGACGCGAGUCUGAACCAGCCAAGUAGCGUGAAGGAUGACUGCCCUAUGGGUUGUAAACUUCUUUUAUAUGGGAAUAAAACGUUCCACGUGUGGGAUUUUGUAUGUACCAUAUGAAUAAGGAUCGGCUAACUCCGCGCCAGCAGCCGCGGUAAUACGGAGGAUCCGAGCGUUAUCCGGAUUUAUUGGGUUUAAAGGGAGCGUAGGUGGAUUGUUAAGUCAGUUGUGAAAGUUUGCGGCUCAACCGUAAAAUUGCAGUUGAAACUGGCAGUCUUGAGUACAGUAGAGGUGGGCAGAAUUCGUGGUGUAGCGGUGAAAUGCUUAGAGAUCACGAAGAACUCCAAUUGCGAAGGCAGUUCACUGGACUGCAACUGACACUGAGGCGCGAAAGUGUGGGUAUCAAACAGGAUUAGAUACCCGGGUAGUC